GUAAUAAUCAUCCAAAAUUUGACAAAGACUUGUGGUCACGAGCUAAGGGCAAGAAUAAAGGAAAAGUGUACGGGUUAGGCAAUGUUAGUGACUCGUGUGUACAUAGCAGAGAAGACCCUAAGAUUGAAAAGUUGAACUUAGUUAUCAAGGAGCUCGUUAAGGAAAAAGAUGAA
Molecule: long non-coding RNA, 173 nt
Organism: Helianthus annuus (common sunflower)
Lineage: Eukaryota; Viridiplantae; Streptophyta; Magnoliopsida; Asterales; Asteraceae
Exons: 2
Source: RefSeq, a predicted model, not a curated record